RNAcentral lists this long non-coding RNA (382 nucleotides) under Malus domestica (apple). RNAcentral describes it as "long non-coding RNA (MDOM_LNC018755)". The record is from RNAcentral. Lineage: Eukaryota; Viridiplantae; Streptophyta; Magnoliopsida; Rosales; Rosaceae.
UAGAGAUCCCUUGUUGUGCAUUCAUAUGCCUACAUGACUAGAUAGCUUGACCCCAACAAUGCCGUGGGCAAUCCGAAGGAAUGCCGUUGACAUGAUCAAAGAUCAAGGACCUAACCAUUAGACAUCUAUGAUGCCUCAGGUCAAAUGACUACUUUGCAUAUUGCAACUUUAGAGUUCAUACAUGACAUGUAUGUUCGAACUCUCUUUUGAUCGUCGUUCAGUGUACUCGAUUACCUUUUUCGAGCACCUAUGUGUUUGUCUUAGUGUCCAACACCAAAUGACUUGAGACUAGUUCAUACUCACGUUUGAGUCAACAUAACACACACUAACCUUAGCGGAUUGUCAAUGCCCAAUUGGCAAUCCUAUGGCUAGGAACGUUUUA